This 82-nucleotide transfer RNA is filed under the name Rhizobacter sp. Root404. It matches the Rfam family "tRNA". From Rfam's summary of the family: Transfer RNA (tRNA) molecules are approximately 80 nucleotides in length. Lineage: Bacteria; Pseudomonadati; Pseudomonadota; Betaproteobacteria; Burkholderiales; Sphaerotilaceae. The record is from Rfam by way of RNAcentral.
GCCCGGGUGACGAAAUUGGUAGACGUAGCGGACUUAAAAUUCGCGACCGAAAGGUGUGCGGGUUCGAUUCCCGCCCCGGGCA